GAUCCGAGCGUAUCCGGAUUAUUGGUUAAAGGGUGCGCAGGCGGAUGUAAGUCGGCGGUGAAAUUUGCAGCUCAACUGUAAAAGUGCCUUCGAUACUGGCUUUCUUGAGUGUGGAUGAAGUAGGCGGAAUUUGUGGUGUAGCGGUGAAAUGCUUAGAUAUCACGAGGAACUCCGAUGCGCAGGCAGCUUACUAAACCACUACUGACGCUCAUGCACGAAGGCGUGGGGAUCAAACAGGAUUAGAUACCCUGGUAGUCCACGCAGUAAACGAUGAUUACUAGUUGUUUGCGAUACAAUGUAAGCGACUGAGCGAAAGCGUUAAGUAAUCCACCUGGGGAGUACGUUCGCAAGAAUGAAACUCAAAGGAAUUGACGGGGGCCCGCACAAGCGGAGGAGCAUGUGGUUUAAUUCGAUGAUACGCGAGGAACCUUACCAGGGCUCGAACGCAGGGGGAAUAUUUCUGAAAGGGAAUAGCCAGCAAUGGUCGCCUGCGAGGUGCUGCAUGGUUGUCGUCAGCUCGUGCCGUGAGGUGUCAGGUUAAGUCCUAUAACGAGCGCAACCCCUAUCCUUAGUUGCCAACAGGUCAAGCUGGGAACUCUAGGGAAACUGCCUGCGCAAGCAGAGAGGAAGGUGGGGAUGACGUCAAAUCAGCACGGCCCUUAUGUCCUGGGCUACACACGUGCUACAAUGGCCGAUACAGAGGGCAGCCACCACGCGAGUGGGAGCCAAUCCCGAAAAUCGGUCUCAGUUCGGAUCGGAGUCUGCAACCCGACUCCGUGAAGUUGGAUUCGCUAGUAAUCGCGCAUCAGCCAUGGCGCGGUGAAUACGUUCCCGGGCCUUGUACACACCGCCCGU
This 855-nucleotide ribosomal RNA is filed under the name uncultured archaeon. RNAcentral describes it as "bacterial SSU rRNA". It matches the Rfam family "Bacterial small subunit ribosomal RNA", at positions 531 to 1397 of the family's 1533-position model. The record is from RNAcentral.